CACACACACACACACACACACACACACACACACGACUAGAGAUAUUUGAUUCUGGCAAGAACAUGGAGAACCUGUAUUCUCAUACACUGAGCAUGAAUGUAUAAACAGACACAACUUUUUUGGAAAUGACUCAGCAAUAUCUAUUAUAAUGUUAAAUGCUUACUUUUUCACUCAAUAAUUCCACAUUCAGACAUUUAACAUAUGGUAAAAAUAAAAUAUGCAUCUUGGCAAACUCAUAAAUGUCUUCAUUGGAGCAAGGUUAGUAGAAGUUGAAAACUGGAAACAACUCUAAUGCCCAUCCAAAUUGUACUGUAAGCCGGUCAUGGUGGCUCACACCUGUAAUCCCAGAACUCAAGAGAAUGAGGUAGGAGGGUUGAGAGUUUGAGGUAACCUAGAUUACACAGUAAGACCCUGUCUCAAAAAGUAACAAAACAAAGAAACAAGCAAAUAAAACCUGUAUUAUAAUAAUUUGGUGAAAUAUACCAAAACUAUCUAGGAAUGAUAGUGAAUGCCUGUAACCCUAGUACUUGAGAAAAGCAGUAAGGAGGAUCGGGAUGCUGAGGCCAAUCUAGCUGCACAGUGGGUCUGAGUCCAAGCCCAGUCCAACCUUCUUAAAAAGACACUUGUCUC
Perognathus longimembris pacificus (Pacific pocket mouse) is the source of this 630-nucleotide long non-coding RNA. RefSeq lists it as uncharacterized. The record is from RefSeq and is a predicted model, not a curated record. Lineage: Eukaryota; Metazoa; Chordata; Mammalia; Rodentia; Heteromyidae. The transcript has 2 exons.